GAGAUUCGCAUGCGCAGUGCCCACGCGAGCGGCCGCCUCGCCCCUCCUGGUCAGGGUGGGGGCGUACCAAGAGGACAUCCAACGCAGGGCCGAAGGGGAAAAAUAACACCGCGGGAGGAGAACCAUCGACCCCGUCUCCCAGAGGAAGAUGUGUCCCUCCUCCAGCCCAAAGCCAACCCCUCCACUGUGCUCCAGAUCCCCUCUCAUCUCUCACUGCUUCCUCAGUCAUCCUUCUCGGGCUUUCCUGGUGGUGCGGUGGUCAAGAAUCUGCCUGCCAACGCAGGGGACACGGGUUCGAGCCCUGGUCUGGGGAGAUCCCACAUGUCGCGGAGCAACUAAGUCCGUGCACCACAACUACUGAGUCUGCGCUCUAGAGCCCACAUGCCGCAACUACUGAGCCUGCAUGCUGCAACUACUGAAGCCCAUGCACAACAAGAGAAGAGCCCAUGCUCCACAACAAGAGAAGCCCCCGCAAUGAGAAGCCUGCGCACUGCAACGAAGAGUAGCCCCUGCUCGCCGCAACUAGAGAAAACCUGCACGCAGCAACGAAGACCCA
Globicephala melas (long-finned pilot whale) is the source of this 556-nucleotide long non-coding RNA. RefSeq lists it as uncharacterized. NCBI's taxonomy places the organism in Eukaryota, Metazoa, Chordata, Mammalia, Artiodactyla, Delphinidae. The record is from RefSeq and is a predicted model, not a curated record.